CCCUGGCAGUCAGAGGCGAUGAAGGGCGUACUAAUCUGCGAUAAGCGCCGGUAAGGUGAUAUGAACCGUUAUAACCGGCGAUACCCGAAUGGGGAAACCCAGUGUGAUUCGUCACACUAUCAUUAACUGAAUCCAUAGGUUAAUGAGGCGAACCGGGGGAACUGAAACAUCUAAGUACCCCGAGGAAAAGAAAUCAACCGAGAUUCCCCCAGUAGCGGCGAGCGAACGGGGAGGAGCCCAGAGCCUGAAUCAGCAUGUGUGUUAGUGGAAGCGUCUGGAAAGGCGCGCGAUACAGGGUGACAGCCCCGUACACAAAAGCGCAUGUGCUGUGAGCUCGAUGAGUAGGGCGGGACACGUGGUAUCCUGUCUGAAUAUGGGGGGACCAUCCUCCAAGGCUAAAUACUCCUGACUGACCGAUAGUGAACCAGUACCGUGAGGGAAAGGCGAAAAGAACCCCGGCGAGGGGAGUGAAAAAGAACCUGAAACCGUGUACGUACAAGCAGUGGGAGCACAGGUUUACCUGUGUGACUGCGUACCUUUUGUAUAAUGGGUCAGCGACUUAUAUUCUGUAGCAAGGUUAACCGAAUAGGGGAGCCGGAGGGAAACCGAGUCUUAAUUGGGCGUUAAGUUGCAGGGUAUAGACCCGAAACCCGGUGAUCUAGCCAUGGGCAGGUUGAAGGUUGGGUAACACUAACUGGAGGACCGAACCGACUAAUGUUGAAAAAUUAGCGGAUGACCUGUGGCUGGGGGUGAAAGGCCAAUCAAACCGGGAGAUAGCUGGUUCUCCCCGAAAGCUAUUUAGGUAGCGCCUCGUGAAUUCAUCUCCGGGGGUAGAGCACUGUUUCGGCUAGGGGGCCAUCCCGGCUUACCAACCCGAUGCAAACUGCGAAUACCGGAGAAUGUUAUCACGGGAGACACACGGCGGGUGCUAACGUCCGUCGUGAAGAGGGAAACAACCCAGACCGCCAGCUAAGGUCCCAAAGUCAUGGUUAAGUGGGAAACGAUGUGGGAAGGCCCAGACAGCCAGGAUGUUGGCUUAGAAGCAGCCAUCAUUUAAAGAAAGCGUAAUAGCUCACUGGUCGAGUCGGCCUGCGCGGAAGAUGUAACGGGGCUAAACCAUGCACCGAAGCUGCGGCAGCGACACUGUGUGUUGUUGGGUAGGGGAGCGUUCUGUAAGCCUGUGAAGGUGUGUCGUGAGGC
Molecule: ribosomal RNA, 1200 nt
Filed under: Salmonella enterica subsp. enterica serovar Enteritidis
Lineage: Bacteria; Pseudomonadati; Pseudomonadota; Gammaproteobacteria; Enterobacterales; Enterobacteriaceae
Description: partial 23S ribosomal RNA
Rfam family: Bacterial large subunit ribosomal RNA
Source: RNAcentral